This 615-nucleotide ribosomal RNA is filed under the name uncultured marine eukaryote. RNAcentral describes it as "SSU rRNA". It matches the Rfam family "Eukaryotic small subunit ribosomal RNA", at positions 613 to 1235 of the family's 1831-position model. The record is from RNAcentral.
UUGCAGUUAAAAAGCUCGUAGUUGGAUUUCGGAGUGGGCCAGUUGGUCCGCCGCAAGGUGUGUUACUGACUGGUUUGCUCUUCUUCGCAAAGACUGCGUGUGCUCUUGAGUGAGUGUGCGUAGGAUUUACGACGUUUACUUUGAAAAAAUUAGAGUGUUCAAAGCAGGCUAUUGCUUGAAUACAUGAGCAUGGAAUAAUGGAAUAGGACUUUGGUCCCAUUUUGUUGGUUUCUCGGACCGAAGUAAUGAUUAAGAGGGACAAUUGGGGGCAUCCGUAUUUCGUUGUCAGAGGUGAAAUUCUUGGAUUUACGAAAGACGAACAACUGCGAAAGCACUUGCCAAGAGUGUUUUCAUUAAUCAAGAACGAAAGUUAGAGGAUCGAAGACGAUCAGAUACCGUCCUAGUUCUAACCAUAAACGAUGUCGACUAGGGAUCAGCGGGCGUUAUCGUACGACCCCGUUGGCACCUUACGGGAAACCAAAGUGUCUGGAUUCCGGGGGAAGUAUGGUUGCAAAGCUGAAACUUAAAGGAAUUGACGGAAGGGCACCACCAGGAGUGGAGCCUGUGGCUUAAUUUGACUCAACACGGGAAAACUUACCAGGUCCAGACAUAGUA